This 290-nucleotide unclassified non-coding RNA is filed under the name Glomus sp. RNAcentral describes it as "partial contains 5.8S ribosomal RNA and internal transcribed spacer 2". The stretch from base 1 to 71 matches the Rfam family "5.8S ribosomal RNA", at positions 84 to 154 of the family's 154-position model. The record is from RNAcentral. Lineage: Eukaryota; Fungi; Glomeromycota; Glomeromycetes; Glomerales; Glomeraceae.
GUGAAUCAUCAAAUUUUUGAACGCAAAUUGCACUCUCUGGUAUUCCGGAGAGUAUGCCUGUUUGAGGGUCAGUUUAAAUAACACUCGGUGUGUUUGCUGCCUUUCGUGGUGACGCACCGGCUUUGGGUCGUCUUGCCUUCGGUUAAGUGACCUACAAUUUUGCAUGCUUUUUUCGAACGUCUUUAAAUUAUUUUACGUACGUUUGCGCUAUCGAAUACUAGGUUUCGUCAUCCUCAUGCUUCGCGCCUAUAAUUUUUCAUCAAACUGCCCUCAACUCAUGUACGAGUACC